Molecule: long non-coding RNA, 472 nt
Organism: Diorhabda carinulata
Lineage: Eukaryota; Metazoa; Arthropoda; Insecta; Coleoptera; Chrysomelidae
Exons: 2
Source: RefSeq, a predicted model, not a curated record
AUUACAUUAUUUCAGUUUAUAAUAAAAUUCCAACCACGAUUUUCAUUUUGUUUCGUUUGAAAUUUAAACAGCAAACAUGAAGUUAGCAAUAUUUUUUUGUUUUCUAACGAUAAUUAAUUUUUCUGUAGCCGAAACGGAGGACUCUAUAAUUGAGUGUGGGAGGCAAUUUGGAUUGGAAGAGAAAAUACAAGAAAACGAGUUAUCGGCGGGAGAAUUUAGAUCAUUAACGAAAUGUGUUUUUAAUAAAGAACGUUUGCGAAGUGAACACUUAAAUACUGGCAAUGUUUUAAGAAAUGGGGCUAUAAUGGAGAUGGCUAUGAGUGUUAUGCUAAAAAUUUGUAAAGCUGCGGGUGGAAAAUAUUCAAAAGACAUAAACGGCAAUUUACAGGAUUGUACUCUAAAAUACGGGUACAGAAAAUAAGAGUAGCGUUUAUAUAAAAUUUUGAAAUAUAAUCUAUUGAUUAAAGAUCAA